AACGAACGCUGGCGGCAGGCCUAACACAUGCAAGUCGAACGCCGUAGCAAUACGGAGUGGCAGACGGGUGAGUAACGCGUGGGAACAUACCCCUCGGUUCGGAAUAACUCAGGGAAACUUGAGCUAAUACCGGAUACGUCCGAUGUUUUAAUCGACCUUGGAGAAAGAUUUAUCGCCGGAGGAUUGGCCCGCGUCUGAUUAGCUUGUUGGUGAGGUAAUGGCUCACCAAGGCGACGANCAGUAGCUGGUCUGAGAGGAUGAUCAGCCACAUUGGGGACUGAGACACGGCCCAAACUCCUACGGGAGGCAGCAGUGGGGAAUAUUGGACAAUGGGCGAAAGCCUGAUCCAGCCAUGCCGCGUGAGUGAUGAAGGCC
RNAcentral lists this ribosomal RNA (375 nucleotides) under uncultured bacterium. Its description in RNAcentral is "bacterial SSU rRNA". It matches the Rfam family "Bacterial small subunit ribosomal RNA", at positions 29 to 416 of the family's 1533-position model. The record is from RNAcentral.